GAAAAGAUUAAUUGGUUGCUCGAUUUGCUCUUGAUUAGACAAUGUCAAUUCAGAAGAGAAAAAGAUGGAAACAUCUAUACAAUAGAUUGAAUGCUCUUGCUUGCUCAUAUAGCUUCCUAAAAGAUUGAAGAAACACAACAACUUUUUUCAUGCCUCAUGGAAUGAGGAAUUUUAGAUCAUCAGUUUGAUGAUGGAUUUGAAUGUUGCAAGUGUUUUUGGGUGAGAAGCAACAUGAUAUCCUGAGUUUGUCACAGAAUCUCAUCAACAGAUGUUGUCAUCCCUUAUUGGAAGCACAUGAAUCAAUGAUGUACAGUUACCAA
Camelina sativa (false flax) is the source of this 320-nucleotide non-coding RNA. NCBI's taxonomy places the organism in Eukaryota, Viridiplantae, Streptophyta, Magnoliopsida, Brassicales, Brassicaceae. The record is from RefSeq and is a predicted model, not a curated record.